CCUACGGGCGGCAGCAGUGGGGGAUAUUGCACAAUGGGGGGAACCCUGAUGCAGCGACGCCGCGUGAACGAAGAAAUAUUUCGGUAUGUAAAGUUCUAUCAGCAGGGAAGAAAAUGACAGUACCUGACCAAGAAGCCCCGGCUAACUACGUGCCAGCAGCCGCGGUAAUACGUAGGGGGCGAGCGUUAUCCGGAUUCACUGGGCGUAAAGGGAGCGCAGGCGGCACGGCAAGUCCGGUGUGAAAGCCCGGGGCCCAACCCCGGGACUGCACUGGAAACUGCCGGGCUGGAGUGUCGGAGGGGCAGGCGGAAUUCCUAGUGUAGCGGUGAAAUGCGUAGAUAUCACGCAGAACCCCGAUUGCGAAGGCAGCCUGCCAAGCCAUGACUGACGCUGAUGCACGAAAGCGUGGGGAUCAAACAGGAUUAGAUACCCGAGUAGUC
Molecule: ribosomal RNA, 440 nt
Filed under: uncultured bacterium
Lineage: Bacteria
Description: partial 16S ribosomal RNA
Rfam family: Bacterial small subunit ribosomal RNA
Source: RNAcentral